CGGGCCCUCGGCGUGCAGCUUGCAUGCCUGCAGGUCGACGAUUUUCCGGUUGAUCCUGCCGGAGGCUACUGCUAUCGGGGUCCGACUAAGCCAUGCGAGUUGAGAGGGGUAAGCCCUCGGCGAAUUGCUCAGUAACACGCGGAUAACCUGCCCUUGGGUCCGGGAUAACCCCGGGAAACUGGGACUAAUACCGGAUAGAUCAAGGAUACUGGAAUGUUCCCUGGUCUAAAACUCCGGUGCCCAAGGAUGGGUCUGCGGCCUAUCAGGUAGUAGUGGGUGUAACGUACCUACUAGCCUACGACGGGUAAGGGUUGUGAGAGCAAGAGCCCUGAGAUGGAUUCUGAGACAUGAAUCCAGGCCCUACGGGGUGCAGCAGGCGCGAAAACUUUACAAUGCGGGAAACCGCGAUGAGGGGACCCCGAGUGCCAGUACCUAGUACUGGCUGUCCCGCUGUCUAAAUAACAGUGGUUAGCAAGGGCCGGGCAAGACCGGUGCCAGCCGCCGCGGUAACACCGGCGGCCCGAGUGGUAGCCGUUAUUAUUGGGUUUAAAGGGUCCGUAGCCGGCUUAUUAAGUCUCUUGGGAAAUCUGGCGACUUAAUCGUCAGGCGUCCAAGAGAUACUGAUAGGCUUGGGACCGGGAGAGGUGGGAGGUACUCCAGGGGUAGGGGUGAAAUCUCGUAAUCCUUGGGGGACCACCGAUGGCGAAGGCAUCCCACCAGAACGGGUCCGACGGUGAGGGACGAAAGCUGGGGGCACGAACCGGAUUAGAUACCCGGGUAGUCCCAGCUGUAAACGAUGCUCGCUAGGUGUCAGAUGCGGUGCGACCGCAUCUGGUGCCGCAGUGAAAACUUGAGGCGAGUCACCUGGGAAGUACGGUCGCAAGGCUGAAACUUAAAGGAAUUGGCGGGGGAGCACUACAACGGGUGGAGCCUGCGGUUCAAAUGGAUU
This 949-nucleotide ribosomal RNA is filed under the name uncultured archaeon. Its description in RNAcentral is "bacterial SSU rRNA". It matches the Rfam family "Archaeal small subunit ribosomal RNA", at positions 1 to 912 of the family's 1478-position model. The record is from RNAcentral.